Molecule: transfer RNA, 68 nt
Filed under: Urocitellus parryii (Arctic ground squirrel)
Lineage: Eukaryota; Metazoa; Chordata; Mammalia; Rodentia; Sciuridae
Also listed under: 1 other name
Description: Spermophilus parryii (Arctic ground squirrel) tRNA
Rfam family: tRNA
About the family: Transfer RNA (tRNA) molecules are approximately 80 nucleotides in length. Their secondary structure includes four short double-helical elements and three loops (D, anti-codon, and T loops). Further hydrogen bonds mediate the characteristic L-shaped molecular structure. tRNAs have two regions of fundamental functional importance: the anti-codon, which is responsible for specific mRNA codon recognition, and the 3' end, to which the tRNAs corresponding amino acid is attached (by aminoacyl-tRNA synthetases). tRNAs cope with the degeneracy of the genetic code in two manners: having more than one tRNA (with a specific anti-codon) for a particular amino acid; and 'wobble' base-pairing, i.e. permitting non-standard base-pairing at the 3rd anti-codon position.
Source: Rfam by way of RNAcentral
GGAGUUAUAGCUCAAUGGUAGAGCACUUGUCUUGCAAGUGUGAGGCACUGGGUUUGAUCUUAGCACCA